GACGAACGCUGGCGGCGUGCCUAAUACAUGCAAGUUGAGCGAUGAAGAUUGGUGCUUGCACCAAUUUGAAGAGCAGCGAACGGGUGAGUAACGCGUGGGGAAUCUGCCUUUGAGCGGGGGACAACAUUUGGAAACGAAUGCUAAUACCGCAUAAUAACUUUAAACAUAAGUUUUAAGUUUGAAAGAUGCAAUUGCAUCACCCAAAGAUGAUCCCGCGUUGUAUUAGCUAGUUGGUGAGGUAAAGGCUCACCAAGGCGAUGAUACAUAGCCGACCUGAGAGGGUGAUCGGCCACAUUGGGACUGAGACACGGCCCAAACUCCUACGGGAGGCAGCAGUAGGGAAUCUUCGGCAAUGGACGAAAGUCUGACCGAGCAACGCCGCGUGAGUGAAGAAGGUUUUCGGAUCGUAAAACUCUGUUGGUAGAGAAGAACGUUGGUGAGAGUGGAAAGCUCAUCAAGUGACGGUAACUACCCAGAAAGGGACGGCUAACUACGUG
Molecule: ribosomal RNA, 497 nt
Filed under: uncultured bacterium
Lineage: Bacteria
Description: partial 16S ribosomal RNA
Rfam family: Bacterial small subunit ribosomal RNA
Source: RNAcentral